RNAcentral lists this ribosomal RNA (407 nucleotides) under uncultured bacterium. Its description in RNAcentral is "bacterial SSU rRNA". It matches the Rfam family "Bacterial small subunit ribosomal RNA", at positions 509 to 916 of the family's 1533-position model. The record is from RNAcentral.
CAGCAGCCGCGGUAAUACGUAGGGGGCGAGCGUUGUCCGGAAUUACUGGGCGUAAAGGGUGCGUAGGCGGCCAUAUAAGUCAGGUGUGAAAAACCACGGCUUAACCGAGGUAUUGCACAUGAAACUGUAUGGCUUGAGUACAGGAGAGGAAAGUGGAAUUCCUAGUGUAGCGGUGAAAUGCGUAGAGAUUAGGAAGAACACCAGUGGCGAAGGCGGCUUUCUGGACUGUAACUGACGCUGAGGCACGAAAGCGUGGGGAGCAAACAGGAUUAGAUACCCUGGUAGUCCACGCUGUAAACGAUGGAUACUAGGUGUAGGGGUUUAAAGACUUCUGUGCCGGAGUUAACGCAAUAAGUAUCCCGCCUGGGGAGUACGGCCGCAAGGCUGAAACUCAAAGGAAUUGACGG